GGCUACCGGGGGGUGCUAUACAUGCAGUCGAGCGGACAGAUGGGAGCUUGCUCCCUGAUGUUAGCGGCGGACGGGUGAGUAACACGUGGGUAACCUGCCUGUAAGACUGGGAUAACUCCGGGAAACCGGGGCUAAUACCGGAUGGUUGUUUGAACCGCAUGGUUCAAACAUAAAAGGUGGCUUCGGCUACCACUUACAGAUGGACCCGCGGCGCAUUAGCUAGUUGGUGAGGUAACGGCUCACCAAGGCAACGAUGCGUAGCCGACCUGAGAGGGUGAUCGGCCACACUGGGACUGAGACACGGCCCAGACUCCUACGGGAGGCAGCAGUAGGGAAUCUUCCGCAAUGGACGAAAGUCUGACGGAGCAACGCCGCGUGAGUGAUGAAGGUUUUCGGAUCGUAAAGCUCUGUUGUUAGGGAAGAACAAGUACCGUUCGAAUAGGGCGGUACCUUGACGGUACCUAACCAGAAAGCCACGGCUAACUACGUGCCAGCAGCCGCGGUAAUACGUAGGUGGCAAGCGUUGUCCGGAAUUAUUGGGCGUAAAGGGCUCGCAGGCGGUUUCUUAAGUCUGAUGUGAAAGCCCCCGGCUCAACCGGGGAGGGUCAUUGGAAACUGGGGAACUUGAGUGCAGAAGAGGAGAGUGGAAUUCCACGUGUAGCGGUGAAAUGCGUAGAGAUGUGGAGGAACACCAGUGGCGAAGGCGACUCUCUGGUCUGUAACUGACGCUGAGGAGCGAAAGCGUGGGGAGCGAACAG
RNAcentral lists this ribosomal RNA (758 nucleotides) under Bacillus subtilis. RNAcentral's name for it is "bacterial SSU rRNA". It matches the Rfam family "Bacterial small subunit ribosomal RNA", at positions 34 to 775 of the family's 1533-position model. Lineage: Bacteria; Bacillati; Bacillota; Bacilli; Caryophanales; Bacillaceae. The record is from RNAcentral.